AUGGCUUCAUAUUCAGAGAAGCAGGCCAACGGCAUUGGUGAGAAACAUCAUGAUCUAGUUUGUGUGACUGGAGCAGGAGGCUUCAUUGGGUCAUGGGUGGUGAAGGCGCUCCUCCUCCGUGGCUACCGUGUCCGGGGAACUGCCAGAGAUCCCGCUGAUCACAAGAACGCCCACUUGCUUGCUCUGGAGGGAGCCAAGGAGAGGCUAUCCCUGUGCCGCGCCAAUCUCCUGGACCGCGACAACCUCAUCGCCGUGUUCAGCGGAUGCCACGGCGUCUUUCAUAUCGCCUCACCGAUCUCCAAUACGGACCCGGACCUCAUGGUGGUUGCCGUGGAGGGAACCAAGAACGUGAUCAACGCGGCGGCGGACGCGGGCGUGCAGCGUGUGGUGUUCACCUCCUCCUACGGUGCCGUGCACAUGGACCCCAACCGGAGCUCCGACGCCGUGCUCGACGAAUCGUGCUGGAGUGACUACGAGUUCUGCGAGCAAACAGGCAAUCUGUACUGCUGCUCGAAGAUAAUGGCGGAGAUCACGGCGAAGGAGGAGGCGGCCAAGAGGGGGCUGGAGCUAGCGGUGGUGCUGCCUUCCAUGACGAUCGGUCCCGCCCUGCAGCAGAAGCUCAACCUGGGCAUCAGUCACAUCAUCCGCUACGUGACUGGCGCCAAGAAGACCUAUCGCAACGCCAUCACCGCCUACGUCGACGUCCGCGAGGUGGCCCGCGCCCACGUCCUCGUCUACGAGCGCCCCGACGCGCGCGGCCGCUACCUCUGCAUUGGCGCCGUCGUCCACCGCGCCGACUUGGUGCAGCUCCUCGGCGACCUCUUCCCCGAGUACCAGAUAACUGCCAAAUGUGAAGAUGACGGCAAGCCUAUGGCCAGGCCAUACAGGUUCUCCAACCAGAGGCUCAGGGACCUGGGCUUGGAGUUUACUCCCCUCAGGCAGACUUUGUAUGACACAGUGGUAUCGCUGCAGCAGCAGGGUCACCUGCUUCUGCCCGCGGUUCCAGGCCCAGAACGUGCACGCCUCUAA
RNAcentral lists this ribosomal RNA (1029 nucleotides) under Triticum aestivum (bread wheat). RNAcentral describes it as "partial small subunit ribosomal RNA". The record is from RNAcentral. Lineage: Eukaryota; Viridiplantae; Streptophyta; Magnoliopsida; Poales; Poaceae.